This 775-nucleotide ribosomal RNA is filed under the name uncultured Neocallimastigales. RNAcentral's name for it is "partial large subunit ribosomal RNA". It matches the Rfam family "Eukaryotic large subunit ribosomal RNA", at positions 24 to 640 of the family's 3401-position model. The record is from RNAcentral. Lineage: Eukaryota; Fungi; Neocallimastigomycota; Neocallimastigomycetes; Neocallimastigales.
UAUCUCUGUAGAGUCUGCAUAUCAAUAAGCGGAGGAAAAGAAACUAACAAGGAUUCCCCUAGUAACGGCGAGUGAAGCGGGAAGAGCUCAAAUUUGAAAUCUUCAAGGUUUGACCUUGACGAAUUGUAGUUUAAAGAAGUGUUUUCGGUUAGAGGAGUGGUAAAAGUUCUUUGGAAUAGGACAUCAUAGAGGGUGAGAAUCCCGUAUUUGUACCAUUCUCUCUAGCUUUGUGAUACACUUUCAAGGAGUCGGAUUGUUUGGGAAUGCAGUCCAAAAUGGGUGGUAAAUUUCAUCUAAAGCUAAAUAUUGGCGAGAGACCGAUAGCGAAUAAGUACCGUGAGGGAAAGAUGAAAAGAACUUUGAAAAGAGAGUUAAACAGUACGUGAAAUUGUCAAAAGGGAAGCGUUUGACACCAGUGUUGUUUUUCCGAAAAUCAAUUAAAAAUGGAUUCAUGCUAAGUUGUAUUGACCUUAUCAGCUUGCAAUUUAGUUUUGGGUUUCUUUUUGAUGCACUUUUCGGUUAACAAGUCAACAUCAAUUUCCUUUGCUGUAAGAAGGCAGGAGGAAGGUGGCUUCAAUUUCGGUUGAAGUGUUUAUAGCCUUCUGUCUCUGCAGUCGGGGAGAUUGAGGUCUGCAGCGUAGAUCCUUCGGGGCUAGAUACAUUCGUGCUAAGUUAUAGCCUUUUAUAGACAACUUGUUGACUAUGAUUGGUCUUGUAAUUUACUCGCGAGUGCUAUUUUACCUACGCUUAGGAUGUUGAUCUACAGAGCGAGAGU